UAUUUUUUGGAUUAAAAAAUAAUUAAAUAGUAAAGUGCCAGCCGUUUUUAAGAAAUUGUAACAAAAUCGCCCCCCACGCGUAUACCAAAAUAUCGGUUUCCAAACGUAUAGAAAAUAAAAAAUUGUAAUAACGUAAUAAAAACGUUCAAAGGAACGCAAUUUUUAAUUUUUUAAAAAUUGCCAAAAUAAUAUUACGUUUUAAAAAUAUAAUACUCCCGGGUUUUUUACCCUUUUUUAUAUUUUUAAACAGAUUUGAUAAAAAGCGUGUAAUGGAUAAAUAACGACAAAUAAAACGACGAUAAAAAUUACAAACCCCCAAAAAAAACCUAAAUAUUAUAAAAUAAUUUGGGUGCAGGUUAUUUUUAAAUAGCGGUUACCUUAGUUAAAUUUAUAAAUAUUUUUUAAAUAUUAAUUAUAUAAUUUGAAAAUUUAGUUUUUUAUAUAUAAAAUUCGCAUUUUAGCAAUUUAACGUACAAAUUUGCCUCCCGAAAUCUUUCCCAAAUUCCCCGUAUAUAUUUUUUAUAAGUUAUUUUGUUGAAAAAAUAAAUUAAAAUAUUAUUUAAAUAUAAAACGCAAUAGCGAUUUACGAAAUUUCCCAAAACCUUUUAUAUAUAAUUUUGGAAAAUCGCUGGGACGUUGUAAAAACCAAAAAAUAUAUUAAUAUAUUCAAAAUAAUUAUAACGAAUGCGAAAAACAAUUUUCUAUUUAUCCCUUUCUUUAAUACGAACUUUAUAAUAUGCAUUUUUAACAUUUAAUUUGGUAAACCAUUGCAAAUUUUGCAUGCGGUUUAUAAUUUUUAUAAUUAGGGGUAAAAACUACCUGUUUUUCUUAAUAAUCGAAUUUAAAUUUCAAUAAUUUACGCAAAAACGCAAUAUCCCUUUUUUGGAAAUAAAAAAAAUAAAUACCUUUGCAAAAUUGUUGGAUUUACAAAUACGUUUGAAUUUCAGGUUUUCUUUAAUAUAUUUUUAUAAUUUAGCCAAUUCUUUUGGUAAUAAAAGAUAAAUGGGCAAAUGUGGAGAUAUGUUUUUAUAAUUAAAUUAAUGGAAUGCACCGCGUUAAUAUUAAUAGGUAUAAUUUUAAUUACCUAUUUUGAAAAGAUAUUUUGGUAAUUUUAAUAUUUUUGCGGUAUAAUAAUUUUCCGUUUGGAAAAAGGGUUUCUUUUUAUUUUUAUCGGGUAAAACGGGAAAUAAAUAAUUUGCUAGGGUAACGGUAUUAAUCCGUGUCACGUAUUUGCCCGACGAUAUAACAAAUACGACAAAUGGAUUAAAAGAUCCUGCAGUACCUGCACUUAACAAGUACUUCGUCGGUCCCAAUUAUAAAGUUUUGUUGCACGAACAUAAUAAUCCGUAUAUAUCCCUUAAUCAAAUAUAAAAAGUUUUUAACGUUAUUAUAUAUUUGAAAAAGUUUUCUAUUAUUUUAAGCCAUUAUUAGUGCGUGGAAUUAUUUAUAAUAAUAUUUUAUUUACCAAAACCGGUUCCCCCCAAAUAAUAAAAGGGUUUCCCUUCCAUUUUUUGAAAAUAUUUCGAAAAUCGGUAAUCCAUAAUUAUAUAAAAUAAAUUCUUCUGGUAAUAAUCUCGUCCUAUCCCAUAUUAAUAAUAAUUAAUAUUUUACAAAUUUGCAAUAAUAAUUAAUAUUAUAACGCAAAGAUUUUAUCAAUUAAAUUAAUUUUUCACCCGUAUUUAUAAACAUUUGGGCAAUAAUUCCAAAUAAAUUUAAUAACCGAACCGAAAUUUAAAAUAUAGGACGUUGGGGUAAAAUUGGGGUAUUAAAUUUGUUAAAUAUAAUAAUAAACUUUCGAAAAAAGUUAUUUUGCGUAUUUUUGCUUUUAACCAUUUGAAUUUUAAUUUUUUUUAAUUUGAAAUUAGUCCAAAAUUUUGGUUUAUUAUUUAUUUAACCCCGAACCUUUUUCCAAAUAUUAAUAAGCGAAAUGCGUAUUAUUAUUGCACCGGUAAUACCGAAUUAAUUUUCCAAUGGUUUUAUCUUUUCAAUUUUUCCAACAUUUAAAAUUUUCGGACCCCCCGGAUUUGGGUUUUUUUGUUAAAUUUGCGUUCUGUCCGAUUUCCGCUGGAAUCUCUGUUAUUUCCCCUGGUUUUACGUUUAUUUUUGCAUUGGGAAAAAUUAUUCUGGGUAAUUUGCGAUUUCCCGUCUUUUCCGUUCCCAUUUUUCUCGGUUCUUUGGGUUUUUUUAUUAGAAUAUUAUCCUGUUAAAUUCUUUUUAACGCUUUAUUUUCGUUUUUUAAUAUUAGUUUAGUAUUUUUAUAUCCAAAUUACCGUUUUAUGUCGGGUAAAAAAUAUAUUACCGCAAUAAAUAUUAAAAUAUCUUUUUAAUUUAAAUACUAAUUUAUUAAAAACCCGUAUAAAACAAUUUUUUUCGGUUUCCCUAUCCAUAGAAAAUUGUAAGAUUAAAAAAUAAAUAUGGAAAUUAAAAGGAAACUAUUUUAUAAAAUAUUUGAUUUGUUCCAAUUUUAACGUAAUAUUUUCCUUUUUUAUUUUAUUAGUUUUGAUAAACGUUUUUAUUAAUUUAACGAAACCGGUCCAAUUAAUUUUAAUAAUAAUAUAUUUGUAUUUUGGCAACCCCAAAAUAUAAAUAUUAUAACGGUUUCGAAAUAUAAUUGAUAAGGUUAAAAACCCGUAAAAAACUUAACGUUCCUUUGUAUAAUAUUUUCUGGAUAUUGCUUUAAAUAUUUAUUAUAUUUGUAAUAACUAAUUAUUUCGUUAUUUUUAUAAUAAAUUAAAUUUAAAAAUUAAAAAAAUACGGAUUUUUAAUUUCCCUUUUUCUUUUAUUUUUAAAGAAUUAACGUUUUUUUCAAUAAAAAGUUGGAAUUGUUUUGAAAUUCUUUUGGUUUUCCGUUGGAAAUCCAUUUUCUUUAUCCAAACUUUUUAUAACGUUCGAAUUGGCGUAUUUUCUUUAACGUCGAAAUCGACUAUAGGUUUAAUAAUUUUUAAAAAUUCGUUUGGAUAAUUGUCGGUUAUUAUAUAAAUAACCCAAAUAAAAAAAUUAAAAUUAUUACGACCGGGGAUUGGAUAUUAAUUAAAUACACGCUAACUAACAAAAUAUAGGGUAGUAAUAUAACGUAUAAUAAUCCACAAUAAUAUUAUAAUAAUAACAUUUGGAUUAAAAACUGAUUUUUAAAGAUUUAAAACUAAGUUGCUACCCUUAGAAUUUAGGAGCCCCUAUUUAUAAGCGGCGUUCCUAUUAUAUUUACGUAACGCGAGUUUACAAGUUUAGCAAAACCCAGCCCCUAAGGUUAUACGCUAGCAUUUAAACACUAAUAAAUCUACACGUAAUAUAUAUAAAAUAAAAAAACAUUAAA
This 3313-nucleotide small RNA is filed under the name Pyricularia oryzae. RNAcentral describes it as "Magnaporthe oryzae sRNA M_BR32_EuGene_00111711". The record is from RNAcentral. Lineage: Eukaryota; Fungi; Ascomycota; Sordariomycetes; Magnaporthales; Pyriculariaceae.